This is a non-coding RNA of Trichobilharzia regenti, 49 nucleotides long. NCBI's taxonomy places the organism in Eukaryota, Metazoa, Platyhelminthes, Trematoda, Strigeidida, Schistosomatidae. The record is from Rfam.
AUCCAGUUGACGAAUCUCAAAUAGGACGAAAUGCGCAUCCUCGCUGGAU